This 595-nucleotide ribosomal RNA is filed under the name Helicobacter pylori. Its description in RNAcentral is "bacterial LSU rRNA". It matches the Rfam family "Bacterial large subunit ribosomal RNA", at positions 1570 to 2173 of the family's 2925-position model. Lineage: Bacteria; Pseudomonadati; Campylobacterota; Epsilonproteobacteria; Campylobacterales; Helicobacteraceae. The record is from RNAcentral.
GUCCUUUUAGGACAAAGGGAGAAUCGCUGAUACCGUCGUGCCAAGAAAAGCCUCUAAGCAUAUCCAUAGUCGUCCGUACCGCAAACCGACACAGGUAGAUGAGAUGAGUAUUCUAAGGCGCGUGAAAGAACUCUGGUUAAGGAACUCUGCAAACUAGCACCGUAAGUUCGCGAUAAGGUGUGCCGCAGCAAUGCGGUCUCAGCAAAGAGUCCCUCCCGACUGUUUACCAAAAACACAGCACUUUGCCAACUCGUAAGAGGAAGUAUAAGGUGUGACGCCUGCCCGGUGCUCGAAGGUUAAGAGGAUGCGUCAGUCGCAAGAUGAAGCGUUGAAUUGAAGCCCGAGUAAACGGCGGCCGUAACUAUAACGGUCCUAAGGUAGCGAAAUUCCUUGUCGGUUAAAUACCGACCUGCAUGAAUGGCGUAACGAGAUGGGAGCUGUCUCAACCAGAGAUUCAGUGAAAUUGUAGUGGAGGUGAAAAUUCCUCCUACCCGCGGCAAGACGGAGAGACCCCGUGGACCUUUACUACAACUUAGCACUGCUAAUGGGAAUAUCAUGCGCAGGAUAGGUGGGAGGCUUUGAAGUAAGGGCUUUG